CACACAGACACACACACACACACACACACAGCACCCACUACAAAAUACAGGACUCUGCACAGCUGACAAAACCACGGACACAAGCCUGAGUGACCAGACAGCCAACGAGAUAUGAGCUAUUCAAGACGGAGCCACACAACCACAUGGGCUGAGAACCACGGGCUGGACUCACAAGGCCACGGCCUGGACUCAUGAGGCCACGGCCGGGAUUCCCUCCAGCCCCAAGGCUGACCCUGGUCAUGUCACAGAGGGGCUGAGGGCAGGAGGUGGGGAGCAAGGAUGUACCCAUCAAAGCCACUGGACUCACAAGGUCAAGUGGCACAAUGCAGCUGCUCUGUUGCUCUUUCCCGUCCCAUCUGCCCCUGGGGGCUGAACCACUCAGGAACGGGCCUCAAGGCUCCGGUUCUUGGUGACGCCAGGGAAGCUGGGUGGCUCUGACCUUCUGGACACCUGGAAAGGGGUCAGGUCAGAGAUGGUGAUGACCGACAGGAGGUUCCACCAACUGCUGGCCACCCCCUUCCCUGGAGCACGCUGCACCCUUAACGAUUUGACCGAUGCUCAAUGAGUCCUGAAUCAUGAACCGACCCAAACAAGGGGACUCCUUACCAAUGCAAGUUCAUUGGCUAGUCCAAGCUGGCUGCUGGGCAAUUCUGCGGAAGGUGCAGCCAGUGUAAGUGGCUGCAAAGUUCAAAACACACUAAGAAGUUCAGGAGCUGUUUGUUGGCCAUAAAAUCACCCGCCACACCCCCAGGUUCAAUACUCAUUGGCUCAAGCCCUCCUGCCUUCUCUCAACCUGACCUUGCUGCCUGGAGCACCUAUCAAAGUCAUCUCACACUUCCCCCAGGACAAAUAAAAAAUAAAACCCACAGCAUCAAAUUCUCCUACUCAAAGGAAGAAUUUCUGGGCUCCCAA
This is a long non-coding RNA of Hyaena hyaena (striped hyena), 912 nucleotides long. RefSeq lists it as uncharacterized. The transcript has 2 exons. Lineage: Eukaryota; Metazoa; Chordata; Mammalia; Carnivora; Hyaenidae. The record is from RefSeq and is a predicted model, not a curated record.